GAGAUAAGUAAUAUGAUUAAAUAAAAUUGGAAUGAUAUAGAGAAGAUUAGCAUGACCCCUGUGCAAGGAUGACACACAUGUAACGACCCGAGUUCAAGAAGGGU
Benincasa hispida (wax gourd) is the source of this 104-nucleotide non-coding RNA. The record is from RefSeq and is a predicted model, not a curated record. Lineage: Eukaryota; Viridiplantae; Streptophyta; Magnoliopsida; Cucurbitales; Cucurbitaceae.